GAUGAACGCUAGCUACAGGCUUAACACAUGCAAGUCGAGGGGAAACGAUAGAGAAAGCUUGCUUUUUCUAGGCGUCGACCGGCGCACGGGUGAGUAACGCGUAUCCAACCUGCCCACCACUUGGGGAUAACCUUGCGAAAGUAAGACUAAUACCCAAUGAUAUCUCAAGAAGACAUCUGAAUGAGAUUAAAGAUUUAUCGUUGAUGGAUGGGGAUGCGUCUGAUUAGCUUGUUGGCGGGGUAACGGCCCACUAAGGCGACGAUCAGUAGGGGUUCUGAGAGGAAGGUCCCCCACAUUGGAACUGAGACACGGUCCAAACUCCUACGGGAGGCAGCAGUGAGGAAUAUUGGUCAAUGGGCGAGAGCCUGAACCAGCCAAGUAGCGUGCAGGAUGACGGCCCUAUGGGUUGUAAACUGCUUUUAUAAGGGAAUAAAGUGAGUCUCGUGAGGCUUUUUGCAUGUACCUUAUGAAUAAGGACCGGCUAAUUCCGUGCCAGCCGCCGCGGUAA
This 508-nucleotide ribosomal RNA is filed under the name uncultured bacterium. Its description in RNAcentral is "partial 16S ribosomal RNA". It matches the Rfam family "Bacterial small subunit ribosomal RNA", at positions 28 to 523 of the family's 1533-position model. The record is from RNAcentral.